AAAUAAAAAUUCAGUGUUUAUUGAGUCUAUUCAAUUAAAUAAAAAUAUAUAAGUUGGGUCAACUUUUUAUUUUAAAGAGUGAGCAACCUUCUUACCAAAAAAAAAAGAAGUCGAAAGCAUUUUCAAUCCCAUGACCCGAAGUAACUUAGCAUCUGACAAUAUUAUAAACUUAUUGCAUCAAUUUUUAACAUGCUAAAUCCCAACUGGCAGUCCUAUAAACAUCGAUGAGAAAGCUAAAAUAAUUAAAAGAAAUCAAUAUAAUGCCCAGCAAGAAGCAUUUUCUGUCCAGUAAGCUCAAUUCCUCCUUUUUUAUAACUCCAAUAUAACCACCAACAGAAGACUUUGAUACUAGUUAUGAACAAAGAAAAAAAAGAAUUAAAGUAUGAAGUUUAAGACUAUUUCAUGUCUGUUUAUUAUCAGUUAAAUAAAGGCAAACGAAGCCGUCACAUAUGAAUUUCUAAGCACUAAAUAGAGAUAAACAUGUUAGAUACACACACUCUUUUACUUUGAAUUCUAAUAGUGAUACAAUGAAACUAAUCCAAUUUGCUACAAACUAACAAUCAAAUAUAAGGAUUCCAUAACUCCAGAAUUUAUCGAACAACUAAAAAAUAGAAUAAGAAGUAGAAGAAACCAAAACGAUUUCAAGUUAUUAAUAAUUUCUCUAUUUUUCUUAAUGAUUUUGCAUUCUAGGAGUCAUUCAUAAAGCUCACAAACUUCAGCUUACUAAAGUAUUCAACUGCUGAUUUUUUAUUCAAAAUAAGUCCUUUUGGAUAGAUUUUGGUUCACCAAAAAUCUAUCCAAAAGGACCAACUUUUAUGUUCCAAAACAGUCCACUUUUCACCAAAAUCUGACACAAAUCAAGAUAGUUAUAAUUUUUCAACAUGCUAAAACAGUAAAACAAACUAACAUGUACUUGUUUCAUGAUUAACACAUUCUAACUUAUAAAUUUACAACAAAUAGUACCAUCCUAUUAGAUUCAAACUAAACCAAAUAAACAAAUCAACUAAUCAUUCACUAAUUGAACUGCUAAAGCAAACACACACUUAGAUUGUAACUAGAAUGAGGAUUCAAAUGAACUAGAUCAAAUCAAUUCAACCUACACAAGUUAAGAUAAAGCUACUAGUACUACAAUCUAUUAUAUAAAGCAGAAGUUAAACAACAAAUUAUUGAGUCAUCGAUAAAAGAUAACAUCGACGAAAUGAUUUGUACACUGAUUCGCUAACACUAAUAAUAAUCGCUGUUCAAGCCACGAGAAGAUGCCAGAAAUUUGAAGCUCUAGCUUCCUGAACCUAAAAUACUCAUUUCACUCCGGCAAAUGCUAAAACUAGGGCUUCCAACAUUAUGCCAGAAGGAAAAGAGGAUUCUCGGGUCGAAAGAAACGAAGAUGGAGAAGCAGUGGUGGAGGCGGCGGGCAGUGGGUGGUCGACGGUGGCUGGCCAAAGUUUGCUGGAUUUUGGAGGGGUUUGGAAGGUUUUGGGGUGGGGAAUGGAGAAGAGGAGAGUGAGAGGAUGCCAGUUGUAUAAAAUUUUCGGAGAUUGGGGUAGUGAGCGGCAGCUAGGGUUUUGGUUAAGCUUAGAUUUAUGGAGAUUGAGAGGGGUUAUGGGAAUUUGGGGUUCAGAUUCAUGGAGAGGAGGUUGAGAGGAAGAAUUGGUGAAAGUUUGGGGUCAUUUGGAAGCUAGCCGCCGCCGGUGGCGAAUUCCGACGGCGGUGCCGUCGUGGAUGGCCUGCUGCAACGGAGAGGAAUGAAGAGAGUGAGGAGAGGAGUUUAGGGUUUGGGUUGGAUGUGUAAAUGAAGUCCAAAUAUUUGAUUUUAGGGG
Molecule: long non-coding RNA, 1817 nt
Filed under: Nicotiana benthamiana
Lineage: Eukaryota; Viridiplantae; Streptophyta; Magnoliopsida; Solanales; Solanaceae
Description: long non-coding RNA (NBEN_LNC018769)
Source: RNAcentral